UAGAGUUUGAUCAUGGCUCAGGACGAACGCUGGCGGCGUGCCUAACACAUGCAAGUCGAACGAGCAAAAUAGGAGUGCUUGCACAAAUAUUUUGCUAGUGGCGGACGGGUGAGUAACGCGUGAGGAACCUGCCUUUAUCAGGGGAAUAACAUCGAGAAAUCGAUGCUAAUACCGCAUAAGACCACGGAGCCGCAUGGCUUUGGGGUAAAAGGAGCAAUCCGGAUAAAGAUGGACUCGCGUCCCAUUAGAUAGUUGGCGGGGUAAAGGCCCACCAAGUCGACGAUGGGUAGCCGGACUGAGAGGUUGAACGGCACACUGGGACUGAGACACGGCCCAGACUCCUACGGGAGGCAGCAGUGGGGAAUAUUGCGCAAUGGGGGAAACCCUGACGCAGCAACGCCGCGUGAGAGAAGAAGGUUUUCGGAUUGUAAAUCUCUGUCCUAUGGGAAGAAAAAAUGACGGUACCAUAGGAGGAAGCCCCGGCUAACUACGUGCCAGCAGCCGCGGUAAUACGUAGGGGGCGAGCGUUGUCCGGAAUUACUGGGCGUAA
This 550-nucleotide ribosomal RNA is filed under the name uncultured Clostridia bacterium. RNAcentral describes it as "bacterial SSU rRNA". It matches the Rfam family "Bacterial small subunit ribosomal RNA", at positions 1 to 563 of the family's 1533-position model. The record is from RNAcentral. Lineage: Bacteria; Bacillati; Bacillota; Clostridia.